GGAGAAGUCGCAUAGUGGCCUAGUGCGGCGGUUUGCUAAACCGUUGUACGAUUGAAAAGUCGUACCCAGGGUUCGAAUCCCUGCUUCUCCG
This 91-nucleotide transfer RNA is filed under the name Candidatus Omnitrophota bacterium. Its description in RNAcentral is "tRNA-Ser". It matches the Rfam family "tRNA". From Rfam's summary of the family: Transfer RNA (tRNA) molecules are approximately 80 nucleotides in length. Their secondary structure includes four short double-helical elements and three loops (D, anti-codon, and T loops). Lineage: Bacteria; Pseudomonadati; Candidatus Omnitrophota. The record is from RNAcentral.